This is a long non-coding RNA of Oncorhynchus keta (chum salmon), 1143 nucleotides long. RefSeq lists it as uncharacterized. NCBI's taxonomy places the organism in Eukaryota, Metazoa, Chordata, Actinopteri, Salmoniformes, Salmonidae. The record is from RefSeq and is a predicted model, not a curated record. The transcript is spliced from 6 exons.
UUUAUGUAGACAGGGUGAUGAGGUAGAUCGAUUUAUGUAGACAGUGUGAUGAGGUAGAUAGUAGAUUUAUGUAGACAGGGUGAUGAGGUAGAUAGUAGAUUUAUGUAGACAGGGUGAUGAGGUAGAUAGAUUUAUGUAGAUAGGGUGAUGAGGUAGAUAGUAGAUUUAUGUAGAGAGGGUGAUGAGGUAGAUAGUAGAUUUAUGUAGAGAGGGUGAUGAGGUAGAUAGUAGAUUUAUGUAGAGAGGGUGAUGAGGUAGGUAGAGUUAUGUAGAGAGGGUGAUGAGGUAGGUAGAGUUAUGUAGACAGGGUGAUGAGGUAGAUAGUAGAUUUAUGUAGACAGGGUGAUGAGGUAGAUCGAUUUAUGUAGACAGGGUGAUGAGGUAGAUCGAUUUAUGUAGACAGGGUGAUGAGGUAGGUAGAGUUAUGUAGAGAGGGUGAUGAGGUAGGUAGAGUUAUGUAGAGAGGGUGAUGAGGUAGAGUUAUGUAGAGAGGGUGAUGAGGUAGAUAGAGUUAUGUAGACAGGGUGAUGAGGUAGAUAGAGUUAUGUAGACAGGGUGAUGAGGUAGGUAGAGUUAUGUAGACAGGGUGAUGAGGUAGGUAGAGUUAUGUAGAGAGGGUGAUGAGGUAGAUAGAGUUAUGUAGACAGGGUGAUGAGGUAGAUAGAGUUAUGUAGACAGGGUGAUGAGGUAGAUAGAGUUAUGUAGAGAGGGUGAUGAGGUAGGUAGAGUUAUGUAGACAGGGUGAUGAGGUAGGUAGAGUUAUGUAGACAGGGUGAUGAGGUAGAUAGAGUUAUGUAGACAGGGUGAUGAGGUAGGUAGAGUUAUGUAGACAGGGUGAUGAGGUAGGUAGAGUUAUGUAGACAGGGUGAUGAGGUAGAUAGAGUUAUGUAGACAGGGUGAUGAGGUAGGUAGAGUUAUGUAGAGAGGGUGGCAGGGGAACAGUGGUUUAAGUCUCAAAUGACAGCCUAUUCCUAAUGUAGUUCAGGCUCUGGUCAAAAGUAGUGCCCUACAUUAGAGAUUCAAUCCAAUGUUGAUGUGGAAGGAAGGAGCAAUGUGGCGAUGGAGAGGGUGCUAAAAGAGGAAACCAGACAGCUCCUCCUCUUCCUGUUCAUCACAGAGGAUGCGUUCCACAUGGCAAUACAU